ACCCGGGUGGCGAAAUGGUAGACGCAUGGGACUUAAAAUCCCUUGGCCGCAAGGCCGUGCCGGUUCGAGUCCGGCCCCGGGUA
Molecule: transfer RNA, 83 nt
Filed under: Gemmatimonadota bacterium
Lineage: Bacteria; Pseudomonadati; Gemmatimonadota
Description: tRNA-Leu
Rfam family: tRNA
About the family: Transfer RNA (tRNA) molecules are approximately 80 nucleotides in length. Their secondary structure includes four short double-helical elements and three loops (D, anti-codon, and T loops).
Source: RNAcentral